Molecule: long non-coding RNA, 381 nt
Filed under: Rattus norvegicus (Norway rat)
Lineage: Eukaryota; Metazoa; Chordata; Mammalia; Rodentia; Muridae
Description: long non-coding RNA NONRATT019410
Source: RNAcentral
AGGCAAAAAAGUGAAGCAUAAGAUCAUUGCAUUUGAAAAGCUGCAGCGUGCAGAAAAGGGAGUUUUAGAAAAAAGAAGGACCAAGAAAUCCUUUGUUACAGGCCCUCAAAAGAAAUGGGGUAACAGAGAGUUUGCAUUAAAGCAAAAGCAAUCAGGCUGGAGCAACAUGCAUCAGGCAGAGGAAGUGGCUUCACACACAGAAGCAGAUUCAUCGAACAUUGUAAUGGAUUUGAAGCAACUUUCCUCUCAAGCUCAUGACGAAUUUGAAACAGAAGAGAAGGGACAACAGGAAGAAAUGCUUCCCCUAGAUCAAGAAAAGGCUGAGCUUGAAGCACCUGUUACAUUUGACCUCAAGCAGUUUCACUCACAGAUAGAAAGUAC